This 325-nucleotide long non-coding RNA is filed under the name Felis catus (domestic cat). RNAcentral describes it as "lncRNA (ENSFCAG00000042012.2)". Lineage: Eukaryota; Metazoa; Chordata; Mammalia; Carnivora; Felidae. The record is from RNAcentral.
UUCCUUUCACCCAUUCAGUCCCUUGCUCUGUCUUUCUCCCCAGCUCUGUGGAGUUCUCACGUUGAUUUUUGUGGAGAUUAGCCAUGAAUUGCAUGGCAACCAGGGAGAGUGACAGUUCAAGGCAGACCUGCUCUUGGGCCCUGAAACUUGCUUCCAGCUACCUCAGCAAGUUAAUAUAAACUUGGGUAGAAAAAUGGAAUCUGCAUCUGUGGAGAGCAUUAUAUCUGACCUGAAGAAGAGGGUUAGAUGAUCUGUCCCCAGUUGAAUGCUAUUGUCGUCAGAGUGAAGGAUGCCAGUUUCAAUGACUGCAGUGCCAUAUUCGACA